AAUGGCCUAACGGCCGAACCAGCAACUUGGAAGAAUGUAUAGUACUUUAAAGUACAAAAGUGAUUUUUUCACAUAAAGUUCUAGAUAAAAAAAUGAUAAUGACAAAUAUUUAUCUAUAAGUCUUGUCUAAAUUACGUGCCAGCAGACGCGGUAAUACGUAGAAGACUAGUGUUAUUCAUCUUUAAUGGGUUUAAAGGGUACCUAGACGGAAAAUUAAGCUUUAAGUAAAGAUACUGAUUUUCUAGAGUUUUAUAAAAGAAGAUAGAAUUUGCAGAGUAGAGUUGAAAUUUUUUUAUACUGUAAAGACUGUUAACAGCGAAGGCAAUCUUCUGUGUAAAAA
This 340-nucleotide ribosomal RNA is filed under the name Eurotiomycetes sp. genotype 400. RNAcentral describes it as "partial small subunit ribosomal RNA". It matches the Rfam family "Bacterial small subunit ribosomal RNA", at positions 370 to 739 of the family's 1533-position model. Lineage: Eukaryota; Fungi; Ascomycota; Eurotiomycetes. The record is from RNAcentral.